Molecule: ribosomal RNA, 486 nt
Filed under: uncultured bacterium
Lineage: Bacteria
Description: bacterial SSU rRNA
Rfam family: Bacterial small subunit ribosomal RNA
Source: RNAcentral
AUUGAACGCUGGCGGCAUGCUUUACACAUGCAAGUCGAACGGCAGCACAGGGAGCUUGCUCCCGGGUGGCGAGUGGCGCACGGGUGAGUAAUACAUCGGAACGUGUCCUGUUGUGGGGGAUAACUGCUCGAAAGGGUGGCUAAUACCGCAUGAGACCUGAGGGUGAAAGCGGGGGAUCGCAAGACCUCGCGCAAUUGGAGCGGCCGAUGCCCGAUUAGCUAGUUGGUGAGGUAAAGGCUCACCAAGGCGACGAUCGGUAGCUGGUCUGAGAGGACGACCAGCCACACUGGGACUGAGACACGGCCCAGACUCCUACGGGAGGCAGCAGUGGGGAAUUUUGGACAAUGGGGGCAACCCUGAUCCAGCCAUGCCGCGUGCAGGAUGAAGGCCUUCGGGUUGUAAACUGCUUUGUCAGGGACGAAAAGGACCGUGUUAAUACCAUGGUCUGCUGACGGUACCUGAAGAAUAAGCACCGGCUAACUCCGU